Molecule: ribosomal RNA, 505 nt
Filed under: uncultured Alphaproteobacteria bacterium
Lineage: Bacteria; Pseudomonadati; Pseudomonadota; Alphaproteobacteria
Description: bacterial SSU rRNA
Rfam family: Bacterial small subunit ribosomal RNA
Source: RNAcentral
CGGAAGAGGUGUUCUUCAGUUCGGCUGGCGGGAACACAGGUGCUGCAUGGCUGUCGUCAGCUCGUGUCGUGAGAUGUUGGGUUAAGUCCCGCAACGAGCGCAACCCUCAUCUUCAGUUGCCAUCAGGUUAAGCUGGGCACUCUGAAGAAACCGCCGGUGACAAGCCGGAGGAAGGCGGGGAUGACGUCAAGUCCUCAUGGCCCUUAUGGGCUGGGCUACACACGUGCUACAAUGGCGGUGACAAUGGGAUGCGAUGGGGCGACCCGGAGCCAAUCUCAAAAAGCCGUCUCAGUUCAGAUUGCACUCUGCAACUCGAGUGCAUGAAGGUGGAAUCGCUAGUAAUCGUGGAUCAGCACGCCACGGUGAAUACGUUCCCGGGCCUUGUACACACCGCCCGUCACACCAUGGGAGUUGGUUUUACCCGAAGCCGGUGCGCUAACCGUCAAGGAGGCAGCCGACCACGGUAGGGUCAGCGACUGGGGUGAAGUCGUAACAAGGUAACCGU